CUCGGGUGAAGGAACUAGGCAAAAUGGUGCCGUAACUUCGGGAGAAGGCACGCUGACACGUAGGUGAAGUGAUUUACUCAUGGAGCUGAAGUCAGUCGAAGAUACCAGCUGGCUGCAACUGUUUAUUAAAAACACAGCACUGUGCAAACACGAAAGUGGACGUAUACGGUGUGACGCCUGCCCGGUGCCGGAAGGUUAAUUGAUGGGGUCAGCGCAAGCGAAGCUCCUGAUCGAAGCCCCGGUAAACGGCGGCCGUAACUAUAACGGUCCUAAGGUAGCGAAAUUCCUUGUCGGGUAAGUUCCGACCUGCACGAAUGGCGUAAUGAUGGCCAGGCUGUCUCCACCCGAGACUCAGUGAAAUUGAACUCGCUGUGAAGAUGCAGUGUACCCGCGGCAAGACGGAAAGACCCCGUGAACCUUUACUAUAGCUUGACACUGAACAUUGAGCCUUGAUGUGUAGGAUAGGUGGGAGGCUUUGAAGUGUGGACGCCAGUCUGCAUGGAGCCGACCUUGAAAUACCACCCUUUAAUGUUUGAUGUUCUAACGUGGACCCGUGAUCCGGGUUGCGGACAGUGUCUGGUGGGUAGUUUGACUGGGGCGGUCUCCUCCUAAAGAGUAACGGAGGAGCACGAAGGUUGGCUAAUCCUGGUCGGACAUCAGGAGGUUAGUGCAAUGGCAUAAGCCAGCUUGACUGCGAGCGUGACGGCGCGAGCAGGUGCGAAAGCAGGUCAUAGUGAUCCGGUGGUUCUGAAUGGAAGGGCCAUCGCUCAACGGAUAAAAGGUACUCCGGGGAUAACAGGCUGAUACCGCCCAAGAGUUCAUAUCGACGGCGGUGUUUGGCACCUCGAUGUCGGCUCAUCACAUCCUGGGGCUGAAGUAGGUCCCAAGGGUAUGGCUGUUCGCCAUUUAAAGUGGUACGCGAGCUGGGUUUAGAACGUCGUGAGACAGUUCGGUCCCUAUCUGCCGUGGGCGCUGGAGAACUGAGGGGGGCUGCUCCUAGUACGAGAGGACCGGAGUGGACGCAUCACUGGUGUUCGGGUUGUCAUGCCAAUGGCACUGCCCGGUAGCUAAAUGCGGAAGAGAUAAGUGCUGAAAGCAUCUAAGCACGAAACUUGCCCCGAGAUGAGUUCUCCCUGAGACUUUAGGUCUCCUGAAGGAACGUUGAAGACGACGACGUUGAUAGGCCGGGUGUGUAAGCGCAGCGAUGCGUUGAGCUAACCGGUACUAAUGAACCGUGAGGCUUAACCUU
RNAcentral lists this ribosomal RNA (1249 nucleotides) under Salmonella enterica. RNAcentral's name for it is "partial 23S ribosomal RNA". It matches the Rfam family "Bacterial large subunit ribosomal RNA", at positions 1699 to 2925 of the family's 2925-position model. Lineage: Bacteria; Pseudomonadati; Pseudomonadota; Gammaproteobacteria; Enterobacterales; Enterobacteriaceae. The record is from RNAcentral.